GUGAGUACAAAAUGACAUUCUCCGACAAAGGAGGACAAAUACCUGUGAGCGACUGACGGUGGUUGGUUGAAUUACAGUCCGGCGGAAAUAUUCGGUCGUUCUCGGUUGUUGUGAAUAAAAGUGGAACGGAGCGCUCACACACACAGUCUUUAGUCCUAAAAACCACAGUCUUUAGUCCUUAAAUUGACUAAGAAAGAUAGCACACAAGAUAAUCAAGUUCGGGCCUUGACGAUGAAGAGCCUCGGAACUAAGGUUAGAGUACGAUGAUCAGCCGGACAAAGCCGGGACUUCACUUCCACAAAAUGAAGUUAGACGAAAUCCGACGUCACAAAGGGUCCGACCCCUUUUAUAUCUCUAUUUCCCCCCUUUCUUUUAACAAACAAUCUUUUCGUUUUUCCCUUCUUUAUUGCCCUCUUCACUUCUUCCCACUUACCACCUGCAAGUCAUUUGACUUGUUUUCCGAAUGUUUUGUUUAUUUCACUUAAAGGGGAAAG
RNAcentral lists this long non-coding RNA (494 nucleotides) under Androctonus crassicauda. Lineage: Eukaryota; Metazoa; Arthropoda; Arachnida; Scorpiones; Buthidae. The record is from RNAcentral.